RNAcentral lists this ribosomal RNA (258 nucleotides) under uncultured bacterium. RNAcentral describes it as "partial 16S ribosomal RNA". It matches the Rfam family "Bacterial small subunit ribosomal RNA", at positions 524 to 777 of the family's 1533-position model. The record is from RNAcentral.
UACGUAGGGUCCGAGCGUUGUCCGGAAUUACUGGGCGUAAAGAGCUCGUAGGUGGUUUGUCGCGUUGUUCGUGAAAACUCACAGCUCAACUGUGGGCGUGCGGGCGAUACGGGCAGACUAGAGUACUGCAGGGGAGACUGGAAUUCCUGGUGUAGCGGUGAAAUGCGCAGAUAUCAGGAGGAACACCGGUGGCGAAGGCGGUUCUCUGGGCAUUACCUGACGGCUGGAGGAGCGAAAGUGUACGGGGAGCGAACAGGA